Molecule: non-coding RNA, 91 nt
Filed under: Jeotgalibacillus campisalis
Lineage: Bacteria; Bacillati; Bacillota; Bacilli; Caryophanales; Caryophanaceae
Description: Glycine sequence
Rfam family: Glycine riboswitch aptamer
About the family: This family represents the bacterial glycine riboswitch.
Source: Rfam by way of RNAcentral
AUGAAAGCAGGGGGAGAGAUCCUUUUUUAAAGGACGCCGAAGGAGCAAGCAUGUUUGUGAAUCUCUCAGGCAAAAAGACUCUUGCUGGACG